RNAcentral lists this ribosomal RNA (325 nucleotides) under Clostridioides difficile. RNAcentral's name for it is "bacterial LSU rRNA". It matches the Rfam family "Bacterial large subunit ribosomal RNA", at positions 2598 to 2925 of the family's 2925-position model. The record is from RNAcentral. Lineage: Bacteria; Bacillati; Bacillota; Clostridia; Peptostreptococcales; Peptostreptococcaceae.
ACGCGAGCUGGGUUCAGAAAGUCGUGAGACAGUUCGGUCCCUAUCCGUCGCAGGCGUAGGAAAUUUGAGAAGACCUGUCCUUAGUACGAGAGGACCGGGAUGGACGUACCUCUGGUGUACCAGUUGUCCUGCCAAGGGCAUGGCUGGGUAGCUAUGUACGGAAUGGAUAAGCGCUGAAAGCAUCUAAGCGCGAAGCCAACUUCAAGAUAAGAUUUCCCACCGCAAGGGUAAGACCCCAGAAAGACUAUCUGGUUGAUAGGUCGAAGGUGUAAGUGCAGCAAUGUAUUUAGCUUAUCGAUACUAAUAGGUCGAGGACUUGACCAAG